Molecule: long non-coding RNA, 1906 nt
Organism: Equus asinus (donkey)
Lineage: Eukaryota; Metazoa; Chordata; Mammalia; Perissodactyla; Equidae
Source: Ensembl
AUAUACUGCCGUGAACUCUUCCCGUUUAAUGAUCUCAGCCGCCAUCAUGAACAGUUUUCCUCUCAAAAUACAAAUGUGUAGCAGACCAAAAUUUUUGUUUGUUUUUUACCAGUUUACCAGUUUGUUCUCAUAAAUUUCACAUGUGGACAAAAGUUACAAAGUCAUUAUCUUAUACAUUCAUAUUUGCUAUGGAGAAAGAAACUGUUUGAUACGUGUGUCUUAUGUCCUUUCCUAUAUGUUAUGUAAUGAAUGAAAAAUAUUAAUGAUGUCUCUUUAGGUGUGUUUUGGUUUUUGACAGCUUAAUAGCUAGUUAGUAUGGUAAAAGAAAUAAUAUAUAUUUUGUCAAUUAGACAAAAACCAGCAUAUUUGAAUUUUUUGUCCUUUGUAAAGGCCUGUGUUCACUCACUGUAUAUAUCGAUGUUUCUAAUCAAUCUAAUUUGGAGGAAGGGAUAAAAGAAUUAAAUCAUUCACAUCAUUAUUUUGUAAAAGGGUUAUAACAAGCAAAGAGCCCUUUAUUUUCAAAUAAGUGGUUGUUAGAAUUAAGCUUUUUUUUUCCUGGAAGCUCCAAGUGUCUGAGUUCAUGUUGCUCAAAUGCUGUCCGUGGUGCUGAGCACAGUAUAGAUUCCAUCAGUAUUUGUAGAAUGACUUACUGGUGUGUGUGUGUAGACCCAGCUCUCCUGACUGAUGGCACAGAGCAGAAUCCAGGCAGUUUGCGUCAGUGAUAGAUCUGAAGUCCUCCCUCGAUUACCUACACCAGCGUGCCCUCUAUUUCUGACCUUCAGCAUCCCCUUCAAGUCUUUGUCUCACUUGUACUACGUGUAAAUAUGAAAAAUAGUUUCCUUUAUAUCUGAUCAAUAUUUUUUAACCUUGGCCUCAUCCUGAGCAAGAGUAUUCAUGAAAGGAGGUGACAAUCUAAACAUGAUACCUGGUGUCCAAGGAGCUUACAGAGUAGUACACACUUUUGAUGUAAACUGCUUUGCAUGCAAGAUUUUAACACUUGCUAGCCUACCGUGUCAGUCUCCUAGAACAAGCGUCAGAUUUAGAGGAGAUUAAAGUCUCAACCUUCCCACUUAUCAACAUUCACUUAUUUGAGUUGAUUAACCUAUUGUAUUUGUCCAGUCUCUCUCUUAGUGACAAAAACCCAACUCAAGCUUAAGAAAAAAGGGGGAGAACUGUUGAGCUCUGGCAAUUUAUAAAAGACUGAGGUUUCUGGUCACAGUGAAGGGUGGACCCAGAGACUCAACGCCAUCAGAACUUGGACUCUGCACGUCAGACCAGCUUGUCUCUGUGCUGGUUUCGUUCUCAGCAGUCAUUUCUACAAUGUGGAAAGGAGGCUGCUGGCCAUCCCAAAGGCAGUGCGUGGAGGCAUGGUCUAACCUCCUCUGACUGGGAGCUCUUCUAACUCUUUUCCUAAGGGAGAAAGAAAUGAAGUCAAGUCUUUGUAGCAGUCAUUUAGAGAUCUAUUCUCUGAGAUCAGACAGACUACGUGGGACUGGAAGAUUUGAAGGUUCUUAUUUGGAGUUUGUUUUCAUUUAUCUUUUAAUGUUGAAUAUUCGUGUGCUCUAUCCUUAAAGUUAUUUGCCCUGAGCAAAAAAAGGGGGCGGGGAACAGUUUUAAAAGACUUUGUAUUAAAAGCACAAUUGACAAAGACUACAUAAACUGGACUUCAUUGAAAUAAAAGUUUCCAGAAGAAUUUUCUAGAAAUUGGAAACAAUCCAAAUGUCCGUCAACCUAUGAAUGGAUAAACAAAUCAGGUAUAUCCAUAAAAUGGAAUAAUAUUUUUCCAUAAAAAGGAAUGAAGUAUAGGAAUGUUACAAUUUGGAUGAGCCCUGAAAGCAUUAUACUGAGUGAUAGAAUCCAGUUACAAAGGCCACAUAUUGUAUGACUCCAUUUUAUAUAAAUAUCC